Molecule: ribosomal RNA, 1370 nt
Filed under: uncultured bacterium
Lineage: Bacteria
Description: bacterial SSU rRNA
Rfam family: Bacterial small subunit ribosomal RNA
Source: RNAcentral
AGAGUUUGAUCCUGGCUCAGAACGAACGCUGGCGGCGUGGAUAAGACAUGCAAGUCGAACGAGAGAAUUGCUAGCUUGCUAAUAAUUCUCUAGUGGCGCACGGGUGAGUAACACGUGAGUAACCUGCCCCCGAGAGCGGGAUAGCCCUGGGAAACUGGGAUUAAUACCGCAUAGUAUCGAAAGAUUAAAGCAGCAAUGCGCUUGGGGAUGGGCUCGCGGCCUAUUAGUUAGUUGGUGAGGUAACGGCUCACCAAGGCGAUGACGGGUAGCCGGUCUGAGAGGAUGUCCGGCCACACUGGAACUGAGACACGGUCCAGACACCUACGGGUGGCAGCAGUCGAGAAUCAUUCACAAUGGGGGAAACCCUGAUGGUGCGACGCCGCGUGGGGGAAUGAAGGUCUUCGGAUUGUAAACCCCUGUCAUGUGGGAGCAAAUUAAAAAGAUAGUACCACAAGAGGAAGAGACGGCUAACUCUGUGCCAGCAGCCGCGGUAAUACAGAGGUCUCAAGCGUUGUUCGGAAUCACUGGGCGUAAAGCGUGCGUAGGCUGUUUCGUAAGUCGUGUGUGAAAGGCGCGGGCUCAACCCGCGGACGGCACAUGAUACUGCGAGACUAGAGUAAUGGAGGGGGAACCGGAAUUCUCGGUGUAGCAGUGAAAUGCGUAGAUAUCGAGAGGAACACUCGUGGCGAAGGCGGGUUCCUGGACAUUAACUGACGCUGAGGCACGAAGGCCAGGGGAGCGAAAGGGAUUAGAUACCCCUGUAGUCCUGGCAGUAAACGGUGCACGCUUGGUGUGCGGGGAAUCGACCCCCUGCGUGCCGGAGCUAACGCGUUAAGCGUGCCGCCUGGGGAGUACGGUCGCAAGAUUAAAACUCAAAGAAAUUGACGGGGACCCGCACAAGCGGUGGAGUAUGUGGCUUAAUUCGAUGCAACGCGAAGAACCUUACCUGGGCUUGACAUGUAAUGAACAACAUGUGAAAGCAUGCGACUCUUCGGAGGCGUUACACAGGUGCUGCAUGGCCGUCGUCAGCUCGUGUCGUGAGAUGUUUGGUUAAGUCCAGCAACGAGCGCAACCCCUGUUGCCAGUUACCAGCACGUGAAGGUGGGGACUCUGGCGAGACUGCCCAGAUCAACUGGGAGGAAGGUGGGGACGACGUCAGGUCAGUAUGGCCCUUAUGCCCAGGGCUGCACACGUACUACAAUGCCCAGUACAGAGGGGGCCGAAGCCGCGAGGCGGAGGAAAUCCUAAAAACUGGGCCCAGUUCGGACUGUAGGCUGCAACCCGCCUACACGAAGCCGGAAUCGCUAGUAAUGGCGCAUCAGCUACGGCGCCGUGAAUACGAACCCGGGCCUUGCACUCACCGCCCGUCA